AUGAACGGCAUCAUCGACACCAACGACGACGUCACUCUGCUCCGCAAGCGCGGCGUGGUGAUCAACCGCAUGAAGAAGAGCGACGGCGAGGCCGCCAAGCUGUGGAACGGCAUGAGCCGCUCGGUGCAGCACUCCAAGGUGCCGGACCUGGACGCGGUCAUCGACGACGUGAACCGCUACUACGGCCGCCGGUGGAGCGUCAAGGCGAAGCGGUUCAUGCGCAAGUACGUGCUCAGCUCAUGGAAGAUGCUCACCUUCCUCGCCACCAUCAGCAUGCUGCUGCUCACCACCUUGCAGGCCUUCUGCUCCGUCUACACGUGCUCCCGGUGGUUCACUGACGUUGUUGUCACGGUCACGCCGACAUCAAGAGAGUAG
RNAcentral lists this ribosomal RNA (375 nucleotides) under Triticum aestivum (bread wheat). RNAcentral's name for it is "partial small subunit ribosomal RNA". The record is from RNAcentral. Lineage: Eukaryota; Viridiplantae; Streptophyta; Magnoliopsida; Poales; Poaceae.